CCUACGGGUGGCAGCAGUGAGGAAUAUUGGUCAAUGGACGCGAGCCUGAACCAGCCAAGUCGCGUGAAGGAUGACUGCCCUACGGGUUGUAAACUUCUUUUGUCAAGGAAUAAAGUGAGGCACGUGUGCAUUUUUGUAUGUACUUUAUGAAUAAGGAUCGGCUAACUCCGUGCCCGCAGCCGAGGUAAUCCGGAGGAUCCGAGCGUUGUCCGGAUUUAUUGGGUUGAACGGGAGCGUAGAUGGGUUGUUAAGUCAGUUGUGAAAGUAUGCGGCUCAACCGUAAAAUUGCAAUUGAAACUGGCAGACUUGAGUACAGUAGAGGUAGGCGGAAUUCGUGGUGUAGCGGUGAAAUGCUUAGAUAUCACGAAGAACUCCGAUUGCGAAGGCAGCUUACUAAACUGCAACUGACACUGAUGCUCGAAAGUGUGGGUAUCGAACAGGAUUAGAUACCCCUGUAGUC
RNAcentral lists this ribosomal RNA (460 nucleotides) under uncultured bacterium. RNAcentral describes it as "partial 16S ribosomal RNA". It matches the Rfam family "Bacterial small subunit ribosomal RNA", at positions 338 to 795 of the family's 1533-position model. The record is from RNAcentral.